ACUACGGGAGGCAGCAGUGGGGAAUAUUGGGCAAUGGGCGCAAGCCUGACCCAGCAACGCCGCGUGAAGGAAGAAGGCUUUCGGGUUGUAAACUUCUUUUCUCAGGGACGAAGAAAGUGACGGUACCUGAGGAAUAAGCCACGGCUAACUACGUGCCAGCAGCCGCGGUAAUACGUAGGUGGCAAGCGUUAUCCGGAUUUACUGGGUGUAAAGGGCGUGUAGGCGGGAAAGCAAGUCAGAUGUGAAAACCAUGGGCUCAACCUGUGGCCUGCAUUUGAAACUGUUUUUCUUGAGUACUGGAGAGGCAGACGGAAUUCCUAGUGUAGCGGUGAAAUGCGUAGAUAUUAGGAGGAACACCAGUGGCGAAGGCGGUCUGCUGGACAGCAACUGACGCUGAGGCGCGAAAGCGUGGGGAGCAAACAGGAUUAGAUACCCCAGUAGUC
This 443-nucleotide ribosomal RNA is filed under the name uncultured bacterium. Its description in RNAcentral is "partial 16S ribosomal RNA". It matches the Rfam family "Bacterial small subunit ribosomal RNA", at positions 338 to 795 of the family's 1533-position model. The record is from RNAcentral.